RNAcentral lists this unclassified non-coding RNA (349 nucleotides) under rhizosphere metagenome. RNAcentral describes it as "partial ribosomal RNA internal transcribed spacer region". The record is from RNAcentral.
GUAGGUGAACCUGCGGAAGGAUCAUUAACACGUUCUAACACGUAUCAACCAACCGGUUCAAUGUCAACCUCUCCCUAUGGGGGCAAGCCGUCAUCUCAGACCUUUAGUGGUGGGUGACUUUCUUCGGAAGGUCACAAAGGGAUGGAUGACUCGAGAUGCGAACUCAAGGCUUUCCUUUGUAGGCUUUUUUUUUUCUCCCCUCUUUCUCCAUCACUGGAGGUGGGAUCCCUAUUUUAACCAUUUUCACCCUUUAAUACCAACUCUGUCUAAAUGCUUUCGAACGAAGAAAUUUGUUUGAGAUUGUAUACUUAACAUUGUACAACUCUUAGCAAUGGAUAUCUUGGUUCUC